This 497-nucleotide ribosomal RNA is filed under the name uncultured bacterium. RNAcentral describes it as "partial 16S ribosomal RNA". It matches the Rfam family "Bacterial small subunit ribosomal RNA", at positions 28 to 507 of the family's 1533-position model. The record is from RNAcentral.
GAUGAACGCUGGCGGCGUGCCUAAUACAUGCAAGUCGAGCGAACAGACGAGGAGCUUGCUUCUCUGACGUUAGCGGCGGACGGGUGAGUAACACGUGGAUAACCUACCUAUAAGACUGGGAUAACUUCGGGAAACCGGAGCUAAUACCGGAUAAUAUAUUGAACCGCAUGGUUCAAUAGUGAAAGACGGUUUUGCUGUCACUUAUAGAUGGAUCCGCGCCGCAUUAGCUAGUUGGUAAGGUAACGGCUUACCAAGGCAACGAUGCGUAGCCGACCUGAGAGGGUGAUCGGCCACACUGGAACUGAGACACGGUCCAGACUCCUACGGGAGGCAGCAGUAGGGAAUCUUCCGCAAUGGGCGAAAGCCUGACGGAGCAACGCCGCGUGAGUGAUGAAGGUCUUCGGAUCGUAAAACUCUAUUAUUAGGGAAGAACAAAUGUGUAAGUAACUAUGCACGUCUUGACGGUACCUAAUCAGAAAGCCACGGCUAACUACGUG